Molecule: transfer RNA, 76 nt
Filed under: Mesorhizobium loti
Lineage: Bacteria; Pseudomonadati; Pseudomonadota; Alphaproteobacteria; Hyphomicrobiales; Phyllobacteriaceae
Also listed under: 1003 other names
Description: tRNA-Phe
Rfam family: tRNA
About the family: Transfer RNA (tRNA) molecules are approximately 80 nucleotides in length. Their secondary structure includes four short double-helical elements and three loops (D, anti-codon, and T loops).
Source: RNAcentral
GCCCAGAUAGCUCAGUUGGUAGAGCAGCGGACUGAAAAUCCGCGUGUCGGUGGUUCGAAUCCGCCUCUGGGCACCA